GGGUAACCUGCCCAAGAGAUCGGGAUAACACCUGGAAACAGAUGCUAAUACCGGAUAACAACAGAUGAUGCCUAUCAACUGUUUAAAAGAUGGUUCUGCUAUCACUCUUGGAUGGACCUGCGGUGCAUUAGCUAGUUGGUAGGGUAACGGCCUACCAAGGCGAUGAUGCAUAGCCGAGUUGAGAGACUGAUCGGCCACAUUGGGACUGAGACACGGCCCAAACUCCUCGGGAGGCAGCAGGG
Molecule: ribosomal RNA, 242 nt
Filed under: uncultured Lactobacillus sp.
Lineage: Bacteria; Bacillati; Bacillota; Bacilli; Lactobacillales; Lactobacillaceae
Description: partial 16S ribosomal RNA
Rfam family: Bacterial small subunit ribosomal RNA
Source: RNAcentral